Molecule: ribosomal RNA, 326 nt
Filed under: uncultured bacterium
Lineage: Bacteria
Description: bacterial SSU rRNA
Rfam family: Bacterial small subunit ribosomal RNA
Source: RNAcentral
GACGAACGCUGGCGGCGUGCUUAACACAUGCAAGUCGAGCGGUAAGGCCCUUUCGGGGGUACACGAGCGGCGAACGGGUGAGUAACACGUGGGUGACCUGCCCUCAGCUCUGGGAUAAGCCUGGGAAACCGGGUCUAAUACUGGAUAUGACUCCAUGACGCAUGUUGUGGGGUGGAAAGCCUUGUGCGGCUGAGGAUGGGCCCGCGGUCUAUCAGCUUGUUGGUGGGGUGANGGCCUACCAAGGCGACGACGGGUAGCCGGCCUGAGAGGGCGACCGGCCACACUGGGACUGAGACACGGCCCAGACUCCUACGGGAGGCAGCAGU